AACUACAAUCUCGAUGUUUUACAUCUCCUUGUCCUUGUGCAACGAGAGAUUCCACUUCUUCGAUUCUUGCAUACGUGUGAGCACGUUUAUGGUUGCUCUAUGUUGAAGUAAAAUUUCAUUCACCACAAAACACAACCCCCAAGAAUUUUGGUUUCCCCUGAAUCAAGAUUCGAGUAUGACGAAAAAGAAGGUUUUAAGGCUUAAGCAAAAAGUCAAGAGAUGACAAAUCCUUAGAGAACAUAGUUUAAGACAAUAUUAAAUAGAGUAGAUCAUCAAUCAUCAUCAAGCUGUGCACAUAAAUCUUCAUAAACACUUAAAAAUACUUUUUGGUUCAACAGUUUUGAGCAAAGGUUAUGUGGGAUGAUGGCUCAUAACACACUCCCUUCCUCGAGAUCCUCACGCCUCGUCCAUCUGCUCCUGAACAAAUAAUAUCAACAACUCAGCACACACACAGUUUCUCAGCUGUUUCAAAUUUUUAGACCUGAUGAAUCUGAUCAAGCACGGUUGAAAAACUCUAAGAGACUACGUUGAACUUAGAGUGUAAAAUGGAAGGUGCGGAGAGGAGUAUAACCUGCAUAUCGGAGGUCCAGAGGGUGAGAUUGUCCCUGAGCAACUGCAUGAUGAGAGUGCUGUCUUUGUAGGACUCUUCUCCCAGAGUGUCAAGCUCAGCUAUGGCUUCUUCAAAAGCCUACACGCAAAUCCACCACGAAAAUAAGAUACCAACAGAUAACAAGUAAACACACAUCUAUCAAACAAACAAAAAAACUCUUCCAAAGACAAACUCAGGACAGUAACUUAUAUUUGAUUUUUAUUACAGAACCUGUUUGGCCAUGUCACAAGCUUUGUCCGAAGAAUUAAGAAUCUCAUAGUAAAACACGGAGAAAUUCAACGCCAAACCAAGCCUAAUCGGAUGAGUAGGCGCCAUAUCAGCAGCUGCAAUAUCCUAAUCACCCAAAACAUUUCACAAAACAAAACCAAUCAGUCUUGUAAUAAAACCCCGAGAUUAAAACGAGUUGCUGCGGAAGUGGGGUGGCCACUGGAGGAGGAGUAGCGACCGGAGGAGGAGUAGCAACGGGAGGAGGAGGAGUAGCUGUGGGAGUGGGAGCUGGGGCUUGAGCAAGUGCAACUGUGGCGAAGAGAGCCAUUAUCAAGAAAACUUGGACACUUUUGGAACCCAUUUCUCUUUAGAAGAUGUUUCUUCUUGAUAGUGAGAGAGGUUAUGAGAUUAGAGAGAGAGAGAGCGAGAGUUCUGAAGUUGAGAAAAAUGGAAGAGGACUUAUAAAAGGAGAGAAUAUGAAGUAUUAAUUAAAGAAGAUUUCUAAUAUCUUUUAAUAUAGUAUAGUAAGUAAUAUAUGCAGACUAACAUGCAAACGCAUAAUUGGAACAUGGGGUUGCCUAUCUGUACUCUCCGAGGCCGAAGCAUUAAUAACCAAAAAAAAAAUACAAAUCGAGUCUAUGAUUGUAGUAUGUACCGAUAAUGACAAUUUGACAUAUUUUAGAAGGUAAAUCGAUUUACACAUAUGGAAGAUAAAUAUCAUAAAGAUUAGUCGGAUGAAGACUUAACAUCUUUGUUAUGUUGACUUUUCUUAGUAGACAAUCCACAGACCAUGAUGUAACGUUAAAUUAGACAAAGUUAACCUUGAUUAGUUAAUUAGAGCUGUGAUUGGAUGGUGAAUAAAUAUAAUUGGAGAGAGAAUCCAAUUUUGUAAUAAUAUGAUUUCAAAGAUCAUUAAUGUUAUAUGACGUGACAAAUGUGUGAACAGCUAACAUGUCUAGUUCAAGAAUCAAGAAUUGCAAAUUUGCAUGUCUUCCUGUCUACUUAAUCCACUUGUUAUUUUUUUUUUUGUCAAACAAUCCACUUGUUAUUUUAAUUUUUUUAUAUAUACAACAACGACCUUUUUAUGUAACUUUGGCAUAGUAUAAGUUAUCUUAUUAUACAGGAAAUAAAGAAAAAAAAAUGAAAAUCUGAAAUUUGAAACAAAUGUAAAAACUAAAAAGAUGUUAAGCUAAAACGGCGGUGUACAUAACAGCAGCGAAGACGGUUCCGGCGAUGAAAGCCUUGUUGGAGAAAGCGGCACUAGGAGCAGGCGCAUCCUCUGAAGGCCCUGGAGCAAGUCCGCUAGGGCUCGAGGCGGGACCUUCUGGUGCUGGUGGAGAGGCGCUAGGAGCAUCAGAUGGAGAAGGAGCAGCUGCUGGUGGAGUAGUGGCGGGGGCUGGAGUCGCGGCAGGUGGUGGAGUGGUGGUUGGAGCUGGAGUUGCGGCGGGGGGUGGGGUGGCCACUGGAGGAGGAGUAGCGACCGGAGGAGGAGUAGCAACGGGAGGAGGAGGAGUAGCUGUGGGAGUGGGAGCUGGGGCUUGAGCAAGUGCAACUGUGGCGAAGAGAGCCAUUAUCAAGAAAACUUGGACACUUUUGGAACCCAUUUCUCUUUAGAAGAUGUUUCUUCUUGAUAGUGAGAGAGGUUAUGAGAUUAGAGAGAGAGAGAGCGAGAGUUCUGAAGUUGAGAAAAAUGGAAGAGGACUUAUAAAAGGAGAGAAUAUGAAGUAUUAAUUAAAGAAGAUUUCUAAUAUCUUUUAAUAUAGUAUAGUAAGUAAUAUAUGCAGACUAACAUGCAAACGCAUAAUUGGAACAUGGGGUUGCCUAUCUGUACUCUCCGAGGCCGAAGCAUUAAUAACCAAAAAAAAAAUACAAAUCGAGUCUAUGAUUGUAGUAUGUACCGAUAAUGACAAUUUGACAUAUUUUAGAAGGUAAAUCGAUUUACACAUAUGGAAGAUAAAUAUCAUAAAGAUUAGUCGGAUGAAGACUUAACAUCUUUGUUAUGUUGACUUUUCUUAGUAGACAAUCCACAGACCAUGAUGUAACGUUAAAUUAGACAAAGUUAACCUUGAUUAGUUAAUUAGAGCUGUGAUUGGAUGGUGAAUAAAUAUAAUUGGAGAGAGAAUCCAAUAUUUGUAAUAAUAUGAUUUCAAAGAUCAUUAAUGUUAUAUGACGUGACAAAUGUGUGAACAGCUAACAUGUCUAGUUCAAGAAUCAAGAAUUGCAAAUUUGCAUGUCUUCCUGUCUACUUAAUCCACUUGUUAUUUUUUUUUUUGUCAAACAAUCCACUUGUUAUUUUAAUUUUUUUAUAUAUACAACAACGACCUUUUUAUGUAACUUUGGCAUAGUAUAAGUUAUCUUAUUAUACAGCAACUAAAUAUUAUAAACAGUAACGAUGAUUAAUCCCAUGUGGCUGACCUGAUAAUUUGAUUAAGUUUUGUGAAUAUUAUUGGUGUUGUUACCGUUGUUGGACAUUGCUAAUAAACCCGUUGGAAAUAGCUGUCAGUGAAUAUAAAAUAAUGUUGAUAGACAUAAGGUAUGAAUAGAAAGAAAUAACGUAUAAAAAGAUACGUCGUCUGGUAAUAGCCUGUAAAGCCUAUCUCGACAGUGAUUCAGAAGGUAAGAUGUCCAUUUUAAUGUUUUUUUUCGAUUGAAUGUAUAUUAGUGAAUCAUUCAUAGUUGGCAAUGUAUUGCCAGUUGUGAUGAACGAACCUAAACAUUCAUUAUUUUUGUCUAGUGACUAAUAGGGCCAACUACUGAUCCACUUGUCUCGACUCAUGCAAUCGAAAUGGGUUAAACUGAAAUUCCAUUACGAUGGAUUUCGACUGAUCAACGUCAAAAAGGAAGAUCAGAAGCUAAAAAUAAUAAUUAAAAUGGGCUCAGCUGUAUGCCCAGCCAUUACGAUGAUACAAAAAAUGGGCUUCGUAUCGUUCCACCAUGCAUACAAUGCAGCCUAGUGGUCCAACUACAAUCUCGAUGUUUUACAUCUCCUUGUCCUUGUGCAACGAGAGAUUCCACUUCUUCGAUUCUUGCAUACGUGUGAGCACGUUUAUGGUUGCUCUAUGUUGAAGUAAAAUUUCAUUCACCACAAAACACAACCCCCAAGAAUUUUGGUUUCCCCUGAAUCAAGAUUCGAGUAUGACGAAAAAGAAGGUUUUAAGGCUUAAGCAAAAAGUCAAGAGAUGACAAAUCCUUAGAGAACAUAGUUUAAGACAAUAUUAAAUAGAGUAGAUCAUCAAUCAUCAUCAAGCUGUGCACAUAAAUCUUCAUAAACACUUAAAAAUACUUUUUGGUUCAACAGUUUUGAGCAAAGGUUAUGUGGGAUGAUGGCUCAUAACACACUCCCUUCCUCGAGAUCCUCACGCCUCGUCCAUCUGCUCCUGAACAAAUAAUAUCAACAACUCAGCACACACACAGUUUCUCAGCUGUUUCAAAUUUUUAGACCUGAUGAAUCUGAUCAAGCACGGUUGAAAAACUCUAAGAGACUACGUUGAACUUAGAGUGUAAAAUGGAAGGUGCGGAGAGGAGUAUAACCUGCAUAUCGGAGGUCCAGAGGGUGAGAUUGUCCCUGAGCAACUGCAUGAUGAGAGUGCUGUCUUUGUAGGACUCUUCUCCCAGAGUGUCAAGCUCAGCUAUGGCUUCUUCAAAAGCCUACACGCAAAUCCACCACGAAAAUAAGAUACCAACAGAUAACAAGUAAACACACAUCUAUCAAACAAACAAAAAAACUCUUCCAAAGACAAACUCAGGACAGUAACUUAUAUUUGAUUUUUAUUACAGAACCUGUUUGGCCAUGUCACAAGCCUUGUCGGAAGAAUUAAGAAUCUCAUAGUAAAACACGGAGAAAUUCAACGCCAAACCAAGCCUAAUCGGAUGAGUAGGCGCCAUAUCAGCAGCUGCAAUAUCCUAAUCACCCAAAACAUUUCACAAAACAAAACCAAUCAGUCUUGUAAUAAAACCCCGAGAUUAAUUAAUUAAUUAAAAAAUAAAAUAAAUAAUAAUUUUUACUAAUAUAUAACCUGAGCAGCCUUGUAAGCAACCAUGGUAUCCUCAGCCGCGGCUUUCCUCUCCUCGCCGGCCUUAAACUCCGCCAUGUACCUAUGGUAAUCCCCUUUCAUCUUCAGAUAAAACACCUUCGACUCGCUCGCCGCCGCAGAGGGAAUCAGAUUCUCCUCGAGAAGCUUUAGUAUCCCUUCGCAGACGGAGGAGAGCUCCGUCUCCACCUUGGAUCUGUAGUCUUUCACGAGCGCCACGUGCUCCUCGUUCUUGCGGCUCUCCUCCUUCUGCUCGAUCGAGGACACGAUGCGCCACGCGGCGCGCAGGGAUCCGAUCACGUUCUUGUAUGCCACGGAGAGGAGGUUACGCUCUUCGACGGUGAGCUCGGAGGAUGGUGUGGCGCCUGUGACGAGCUUCUCCAUGAAGUUGACCAUCUCCUCGUAGCGCUCGGCCUGCUCGGCGAGCUUGGCCAUGUAGACGUACUGGUCUCUGCCUAGUGUUGCCGCCAUUGGAGAGAGAAAGUGAGAGAGAGAGAGAGAGAGAUUUUUUUUUUUUUUUCAUAAAGAUUAGUCGGAUGAAGACUUAACAUCUUUGUUAUGUUGACUUUUCUUAGUAGACAAUCCACAGACCAUGAUGUAACGUUAAAUUAGACAAAGUUAACCUUGAUUAGUUAAUUAGAGCUGUGAUUGGAUGGUGAAUAAAUAUAAUUGGAGAGAGAAUCCAAUUUUGUAAUAAUAUGAUUUCAAAGAUCAUUAAUGUUAUAUGACGUGACAAAUGUGUGAACAGCUAACAUGUCUAGUUCAAGAAUCAAGAAUUGCAAAUUUGCAUGUCUUCCUGUCUACUUAAUCCACUUGUUAUUUUUUUUUUUGUCAAACAAUCCACUUGUUAUUUUAAUUUUUUUAUAUAUACAACAACGACCUUUUUAUGUAACUUUGGCAUAGUAUAAGUUAUCUUAUUAUACAGCAACUAAAUAUUAUAAACAGUAACGAUGAUUAAUCCCAUGUGGCUGACCUGAUAAUUUGAUUAAGUUUUGUGAAUAUUAUUGGUGUUGUUACCGUUGUUGGACAUUGCUAAUAAACCCGUUGGAAAUAGCUGUCAGUGAAUAUAAAAUAAUGUUGAUAGACAUAAGGUAUGAAUAGAAAGAAAUAACGUAUAAAAAGAUACGUCGUCUGGUAAUAGCCUGUAAAGCCUAUCUCGACAGUGAUUCAGAAGGUAAGAUGUCCAUUUUAAUGUUUUUUUUCGAUUGAAUGUAUAUUAGUGAAUCAUUCAUAGUUGGCAAUGUAUUGCCAGUUGUGAUGAACGAACCUAAACAUUCAUUAUUUUUGUCUAGUGACUAAUAGGGCCAACUACUGAUCCACUUGUCUCGACUCAUGCAAUCGAAAUGGGUUAAACUGAAAUUCCAUUACGAUGGAUUUCGACUGAUCAACGUCAAAAAGGAAGAUCAGAAGCUAAAAAUAAUAAUUAAAAUGGGCUCAGCUGUAUGCCCAGCCAUUACGAUGAUACAAAAAAUGGGCUUCGUAUCGUUCCACCAUGCAUACAAUGCAGCCUAGUGGUCCAACUACAAUCUCGAUGUUUUACAUCUCCUUGUCCUUGUGCAACGAGAGAUUCCACUUCUUCGAUUCUUGCAUACGUGUGAGCACGUUUAUGGUUGCUCUAUGUUGAAGUAAAAUUUCAUUCACCACAAAACACAACCCCCAAGAAUUUUGGUUUCCCCUGAAUCAAGAUUCGAGUAUGACGAAAAAGAAGGUUUUAAGGCUUAAGCAAAAAGUCAAGAGAUGACAAAUCCUUAGAGAACAUAGUUUAAGACAAUAUUAAAUAGAGUAGAUCAUCAAUCAUCAUCAAGCUGUGCACAUAAAUCUUCAUAAACACUUAAAAAUACUUUUUGGUUCAACAGUUUUGAGCAAAGGUUAUGUGGGAUGAUGGCUCAUAACACACUCCCUUCCUCGAGAUCCUCACGCCUCGUCCAUCUGCUCCUGAACAAAUAAUAUCAACAACUCAGCACACACACAGUUUCUCAGCUGUUUCAAAUUUUUAGACCUGAUGAAUCUGAUCAAGCACGGUUGAAAAACUCUAAGAGACUACGUUGAACUUAGAGUGUAAAAUGGAAGGUGCGGAGAGGAGUAUAACCUGC
This 6941-nucleotide long non-coding RNA is filed under the name Brassica napus (rape). RNAcentral's name for it is "long non-coding RNA (BNAP_LNC020320)". The record is from RNAcentral. Lineage: Eukaryota; Viridiplantae; Streptophyta; Magnoliopsida; Brassicales; Brassicaceae.